This 118-nucleotide ribosomal RNA is filed under the name Salmo salar (Atlantic salmon). Lineage: Eukaryota; Metazoa; Chordata; Actinopteri; Salmoniformes; Salmonidae. The record is from RNAcentral.
GCUACGGCCAUAUCAGCCUGGGUACGCCCGAUCUCGUCUGAUCUCGGAAGCUAAGCAGGGUCGGGCCUGGUUAGUACUUGGAUGGGAGACCCCCUGGGAAUACCAGGUGCUGUAAGCA